Molecule: ribosomal RNA, 401 nt
Filed under: uncultured Cryptophyta
Lineage: Eukaryota; Cryptophyceae
Description: partial small subunit ribosomal RNA
Rfam family: Eukaryotic small subunit ribosomal RNA
Source: RNAcentral
GCUUGUCUCAAAGAUUAAGCCAUGCAUGUCUAAGUGUAAAUACGUCUACACUGUGAAACUGCGAAUGGCUCAUUAAAUCAGUUAUCGUUUAUUUGAUGAUCUCUUGUUACAUGGAUAACCGUAGUAAUUCUAGAGCUAAUACAUGCGUCAAGCCCCGACUCACGAAGGGGUGUAUUUAUUAGAUUCAAAACCAACCGUGUAAAAGCGUACCUUGGUGAUUCAUAAUAACUUGUCGAACCGCACGCCCUUGAGGCAGCGGUGAUUCAUUCAAAUUUCUGCCCUAUCAACUUUCGAUGGUAAGGUAUUGGCUUACCAUGGUUGCAACGGGUAACGGAGAAUUAGGGUUCGAUUCCGGAGAGGGCGCCUGAGAAAUGGCGACCACAUCCAAGGAAGGCAGCAGG